CUGUAGGUGGUCAUGAACUCAGUCUAACUACAGGCAAUGCUGGUGGAAGAUUAGCUUGUGGUGUUGUCGGUUUGACUCCCAUAUAAGUGAGCUAGCUUGGACCUAAAGAUCACAUCGGUGAACACUUGUGGUGUUUAAAGUUUGAUAUGGAGUUGAAUGGAGAGGAUGUCCAAUUGGAAGAGCAACUGAUUGUUGUCUUGUGAAGAUGCAGCUAAAUGCUGUAUGAACGAAUUUGCAUACUAUUUGUUUAUGCUUAAAUGAAGUGAAUAAAUUUCAAUGCUUGGACUUAGAUUUGUGGAUAUUUUUCUGAACUCUCAGUAUUGUUCUUCCUGAAUGACCUCGGUUAGCAUUUUGGCUUUACUAGCGCA
Molecule: non-coding RNA, 368 nt
Organism: Coffea arabica (coffee)
Lineage: Eukaryota; Viridiplantae; Streptophyta; Magnoliopsida; Gentianales; Rubiaceae
Source: RefSeq, a predicted model, not a curated record